RNAcentral lists this ribosomal RNA (229 nucleotides) under Rhizophagus intraradices. RNAcentral describes it as "partial 18S ribosomal RNA". It matches the Rfam family "Eukaryotic small subunit ribosomal RNA", at positions 554 to 785 of the family's 1831-position model. The record is from RNAcentral. Lineage: Eukaryota; Fungi; Glomeromycota; Glomeromycetes; Glomerales; Glomeraceae.
GGCAAGUCUGGUGCCAGCAGCCGCGGUAAUUCCAGCUCCAAUAGCGUAUAUUAAAGUUGUUGCAGUUAAAAAGCUCGUAGUUGAAUUUCGGGGUUAGUAGGUUGGUCAUGCCUCCGGUAUGUACUGAUCUCACUGAUUCCUCCUUCCUUAUGAACCGUAAUGCCAUUAAUUUGGUGUUGCGGGGAAUUUGGACUGUUACUUUGAAAAAAUUAGAGUGUUUAAAGCAGGC